This is an RNA transcript of Pan troglodytes (chimpanzee), 1788 nucleotides long. It is a transcript of the gene named protein RCC2-like, with no coding region annotated. The transcript is spliced from 3 exons. Lineage: Eukaryota; Metazoa; Chordata; Mammalia; Primates; Hominidae. The record is from RefSeq and is a predicted model, not a curated record.
AUGACAAAGAUUGCCAACAACUACAAGAAACCGGCAAAAGGCAUGGAACAGUUUCACCUCAGCCCUCAGAGGGAAUCAACAUUGCCAACACCUCUAUCUCAGACGUCUAGCCUUCAGGACUGGCCCCAGGCGGCCCGGGAAGCGUGGAGGUCCCAGCGUGCGGGCAGAAAGCCCAAGAGGCCGAGCGCUGUGGCAGCUCCAUGGGGCCCUGGCGGAGGCAGGGGCAUAGCGUGGCUGGCUGCAUAUGUGAACAAGGUGAGCGGUGGGGCCGCGGUCGUCGCGGAGCCUGAGCACACCAAGGAGCGCAUCAGACUUCAAGGGUCGAAGUGCAAGGGGGCAGCUUUUGAUUUCGGGGUCAACCAACUAGGACUCGAUGGGUGGAAAAGAAGUGCCUAAACAGCAAGCUGCUUACCUCAAUCUCGGUCAGAAUUUGUGGGGGCCCCAUAGAUGUGGGUGCCUGGCGGGGUCCUGGCGCGGACAGCGGUCUCGGGUUUGCGCGCUGCGCACAGUAUCCUCAUCACCACACAAUGGAAGCUGCGGAGCUGGGGUCAAAAUAAGAAGGGGCAGCUGGGACCUGGCCACACCAAGAGAAUGGAAGCCCCCAGACUCACUGCGGGUCUCUGCCGGGAAGUGAGUAUGUAGGCAGCCUGUGGGCGGAACCUCACCUUGGCCUUGACGGAAACGGGUUCUGCGUUUGCCUUCGGGGAGAACAAGAUGGGGCAGUUGAGCCUCAGCCACCACGCAGGAGCAUCCCCAGCACCGCACAAAUCAUGGACAACGGGCAGCCAAUUACUAGAAUGGCCAGUGGAAAUGAAUUCCGUAUAAUGGGCGACAAAGGAGACCUCUGUUCCUUCGUGUGCCCUCAAUGUGGUCAGCUGGGACCCAGGCACAGUGAAUAGUUAAGGCUGUGAGCUGGUGCCGGUGCCACGAUGAGUGGCCCACCUUCACUGAGAAUGAAAGAUGGGUAGAUUCUGCCUGUACCAAAGGUGGCUGUGAGACCCCCAGAGCAAGGCAGGGACCCCUCCCCAUUUCCCUUACAUGUUGUGCUGACUGAAGCUACAUUCAACCUUGCAGCCACACAACCACAAACGUUUCCUUUCACAAAAAUAGACCAAUCAAAUCUGAGACAGAGUACUCUGAGCACAAGCAUCUUGGCUAACAACGUGGCCUGUGAUGCUAACCACACAUUGAUUCUGGACUCCAAGAAAUGAGUCUUCUCCUGGGGCUUUGGUGGCUAUGGUUGGCUGGGCCACUCGGAGCAGAAGGAUGAGAUGGUCCCCGCUUGGUGAGGUUGGAGUCUGACUUCCUUGGGUGUGGGGCAUCCCAGAUCCAUGUUGGUUACACCUGGUCCUUUGCUGUCUGUGAAGUUGGUAGUCUCUUUUUCUGGGGGAGCCCAAUAUCUCCCAUGAAUCUUCCAUGUACCUGAAAGCAGUGCAGGACCUCUGCGGCUACAGAAUCCAGAGCCUGGCUUGUGGGAAGAGCAGCAACACUGUGGCCGCCAAUGAGAGCACCAUCAGCUGAGGGCCAUAACCAACCUUUAGGUAACUGGGAUACAGGGACCAUGAGCCCAAGUCUUCCACUGCAGCCCAAGAGGUGAAGACUCUGAAUGGCAUCUUUUCAAAGCAGGUCUCCAUAGGCUACUCGCACUCCUUGGUGAUAACGCGAGAUGAAAGUGAGACCAGGAAAGAGAAGAUCAAGAAACUGCUAGAGCCGGGUGCGGUGGCUCACUUGUAAUCCCAACACUUUGGGAGGCCGAGGCAGGCGGAUCAUCUGAGGUCAGGAGUUCGA